CUUCUCCCAACCAUUCACAAUGGGACAAGUGUCCCACUCACCUCUCUCUCCCCCUUUUUCCUCUUUCUUUUCUUUCUUCUUUUUCUUUCGUUCUUCCCCUUUCUCCCUUGGCAUUCACGCACAGCCCCCUAUUCCCUUUCUUUCCUUUUCUUUUCUUCUUCCGUUCCUCCCUUCUCAUCACACACGUACCACCCUCUCCAUUUCUUCCUAUCUAUUUUCUUCUUCACACACACGACGCUAAGAGAGAGAGACCUGCAGACCGAAGAGAAGGAAAAAGAGGAGAAAAGUAGAAGAAGAAAAAAAAAAAAAAAAUGGGUUUUUUGGCCAUGGGUCUUUAAGAGAUGAUGUUUCUUUGGCUGUAGGUACUCCGAUUGUAGUUGAUGACGUAGUAGAAGUGUACUUGGGAUAUUAUGACCGAAGCUCGUCGUGAUGGUCAUAAUUGUGGGACCAUGGGCGUCCUUUGUUUGAUGGGUUUUGUUUAUGGCCUGUGAUGCCUGUGUCACUUGUUAUGGUAUAAAGUCAUUUAUGUGAUGUAUUUAAUUUGAGGUAAGACUUAAAUAGAUAGAUGUAAUAUUGGCUCUUGAUUAUGAUUAAUUUAUAAUAGAUGUUUAAGAUGUGAUUUCCGCUA
Alnus glutinosa is the source of this 628-nucleotide long non-coding RNA. RefSeq lists it as uncharacterized. NCBI's taxonomy places the organism in Eukaryota, Viridiplantae, Streptophyta, Magnoliopsida, Fagales, Betulaceae. The transcript is spliced from 2 exons. The record is from RefSeq and is a predicted model, not a curated record.